This 5475-nucleotide long non-coding RNA is filed under the name Sarcophilus harrisii (Tasmanian devil). RNAcentral's name for it is "lncRNA (ENSSHAG00000020895.1)". Lineage: Eukaryota; Metazoa; Chordata; Mammalia; Dasyuromorphia; Dasyuridae. The record is from RNAcentral.
GCCACAUUCUCAAAGACCACAAAGCUAUAGACUGCCUGACUGAAGACAGGGGGGUUGUCUUGAGUGUCCAACACAGUGAUGGUCACAAUAGCCUGAUUGGGGGACUGCAGGUGCCCCCCAUCUGUAGCCACAACUUGCAGCUGAUAAGCUGUCUUUUCCUCUCUGUCCAAGACCAUCUUUGUGGAAAUCACCCCAGUGUGGCUAUGGAUUUGGAAACGAGAUGUAUCUCCAGCUGAUAUGCUGUACUUAACAGUCCCAUUGGGGCCUGAGUCUGGGUCACUGGCAGACACAGUGGUGAUAUAGCUGCCAGCUGGCUCAUUCUCCUGGAUAUGAGCAAAGUACUGAACUGGAUAAAACACAGGACUGUUAUCAUUCACAUCCAAGAGACUCACAUUGACCCGGGUCAGAGAAGUCUGGGGAGGAGAGCCGAGAUCUACAGCCAGGACCAAAAGGGAAUAGAAAGCCUGCUCUUCUCUGUCCAAAGAGGAGAUGGUGCUCAGCCUUCCAGACACGGGAUCCAGGCGGAAGGACCUCUGUUCAGUGUCAGCCUCCUGGAAGGAGAAUCGAACAGUUCCAUUGUCGCCUAGGUCCCCAUCUGAUGCCUCUAUGACCAACAAAUCUGUCCCUGCAGGGGCAUUCUCAGCCACAGACACUUCAUAGCCUGCUUCCUGGCUGAAUACUGGCUUUUCAUCAUUCACAUCCAGGACAGUAACUAUCAGCUGUGCAUAGGAUACUUUGGGGUGGACACCCUGAUCCCUGGCACUAAUGUUCAAGACCACCUGGGAGGCUCGUUCUCUGUCCAGGCCACCAGCAGCCGCAGUUGUCACCAGACCACUGUGGUCACUGAUGUGAAACCAGUCCAGCUCAUUGCCAGAGAUGAUGCUAUAGCGAAGGUUUGCAUUGAGCCCUGAGUCACCAUCUGUGGCAGAAACCCCGCUCACAUAACUGCCAGGGGGAGCUUCUUCACUUAGGUUCACCCGAUAGACCAACUGGGAGAAGACAGGAGGAUGGUCAUUGAUAUCAUUAACAAAGAUCACAAGGCUGGCGACGGAGGAACGAGCCACUGCCCCGGGGGGCGCCCCAUGAUUGUCUGACACGGAGACCGUCAGGUUGUAGGAAGGGAUGCGUUCCCGGUCCAAGGCACUGGCCACCUUGAUGAGGCUCAGAUUGGGCACCUUGCUUCGCUGCACCUCAAAGUGGCGUUGCUCGUUGCCGCCCAGGAUCUGCACCGAAAUGUUGCCAUUGGCCGCAGGGGAAUCAGCGUCCGUGACCGUCAGCAGGGCCACGACUGUGCCUACCUGCGCAUUCUCGUCCACUGAGGCAAAGCGCGACGUGGCGGGGAAAUAGCGGAACUUGACCACUGGAUCGUUGUCGUUCACGUCCAGUAGCUGGAUGAGCGCCUCCGCUCGACCAGUAAGCGACGGCACGCCCCGGUCGUGUGCCUGCAGAGUGAGCGAGUACUGGCGCCUGGCCUCGUAAUCCAGGGGCUCCCGCACGGUGAUGAGCCCUGUCUCGGGAUCCAUGUGGAAGGGACCUCCGUCCUCCUGCAGCUGGUAGCGGAUAUCUGCGUUGGUGCCUUCGUCGGCAUCAGCCGCAGAGACUUGCAGCACACUGGAGCCCACGGCCGCAUCCUCAGGUACUCCAGCCUGGUAGUGGGAGCUCCCGAACACUGGGGGGUUGUCGUUGAUGUCUUGUACCGUCACGUUCACUUGAAGAUAGCCCCGCCGCUUGGGUUCUCCCUUGUCUUCCACCUCCACCAGCAGCUGGUAGUAGGCGGUGGCCUCGCGGUCCAGGCCGCCCCUGGACACUAGAUGCAGGAAGGCCCCCUCGCCGCUCGGGUUGAGGGUGAUAUCGAGGCGGAAGCGUCCGGCUUCGUUGCCGCCCACGAUUCGAUAGGAACGGUGGUCUACACCAUUGGAACCGAUGUCUGCAUCGGUGGCAGUGUCCAAGAUGACCUGGCGUCCGCUGCUGCUAUCCUCCUUAAAGGUGACCACGAUGGAAGGCUCGGGGAAGACUGGCGCGUUGUCAUUAAGGUCCCGCACCAACACUCGCACCUCCGUGGGGAACAAGACUUUAUCUCUUGGUUCCUGACAUUUUCUCUGGCUGUUCCCCAAGUCUGGAAUGAGCUCCCUUCUCAUCUCUACUUCCUGCCUUCCUUGACUUCCUUAGACUCCAGAAUAUUAUUCUUGAGCAUUCGCAUUCCUGCUAGAGUGACUUCUCUUCCAGCAUACUAGAUCACAAAAGGUUACCUAUUCUCUGAACCUUUGAAGUCUGGUUUCCUGAAAUCUUUGGAGGAGCAUAUCAAAUUGUACUUGCAGGGGAUGUUCACUUUGCCCUAUUAUUUUUAGCCCAGAAACCAAUUUUUACCUCUCAAUGAGAAUCAGAUCCAGGAUAGUUUCCUUUUAUUGGUUCUUUUAACUUUUGAAAGAUAAAGUGAUCAUUAAGGCCAGUUAAGAAUACAGAUUUUUUUUUUUUUUUUAAGAAUACAGAUUCUUACUUUUGAGAGAGUCUAGCAGAUGUUCAACUUUCUCUUAUCUCCUCACCCUGGCCAUCUUCCUUCCUGGAAAGCUGGACUCUAAACUUGGCUCCCAUGGUUUUGAUAGAUAAGCUUUUUACCUUGUUACUGGUGCUCAUAUCUCCAUGUAACAUCAGGUACUACAGAACUUCUUUGUCAUCUCCCAGAUCCCAAAACAGUAGUAAUGGAAAGGGCAUUGAGCUGCCAGUGUGCUCAGCAGGAGGAGAAGUGACAGGAGUAGAACAGCAACUGUGGUGAGAAUAGCAGUGGCAGGACUCAGGUCCCCGUAGCAGAAGGGGACCCCAGACUCCUGACAUCUCUGAGCACCACAUGGCAACCAGAGCCUUGGGUAUGGGACUAUAGCUUCUACCUCCACAUCCAGUGCUGUUCCCUCCAAGAAAACAUGGACAGUUGGAAAGAGUAUAAAAGUCAUGGUUCCUCUCAGAAAUGAGUUUGGUCAAAAACAGAGCCCAGAUGGGUUGAUCUGGAUUGGCUUAGGAUGGAGAGGGAGAGUUAGACUAAAGACUAAAGAUGUACUCAUGGGAAAAAAUCAUUUAUUUAUAAUCUAUUGCUUUCACCACUUGUCAUACCUUCUAGAACCAAUUAAUGAGGCUCCACUAUAUUUACCACCAUGCUUCCCCAAUCAGGGUCCUGUAUUUCAUCCCAUUCAUAUAUUAUCUUAACAUACAAUACUACUCAAGUCUACAUCUAACCUAUUCUAUUGUUUUUAUUGUUGCUGUUGUUGUUUUUACACAUAAAUAUGAUAUUUGAAUAUGAUACUCAUAGAAAAGUCAGAGUCUAGUUAUCAUAUUAUAUAGUAAUACCUCUGCAAUCAAAUUUGCUUUUUGCGUUAUGAUUUCUAAUUCUUCAUUUAGUGCUGAAACUUCAAGGAUUUUUAUACAAACCAAUGGUCUGUGUUGCUGAUUUCUAUCUAAGAUUUUGUCUCUUCCGGGCAUUUUAACUGAUUCUUCCCUCAUUGUAGUGAUUCUCUGUGAUAUCUAAUUUGGUGUAUGUAUAUGGGCCAUCUUCUUUCUCCCCCAUCCUUUAUAUAAAAAUGACCUGCAUUUCUGAGUGCAAGUCAGUCCAGCAGAGAUGGGAAUGCUCAAGUAUAAUAUUCUGAAAAAAAGAAAGGAAAACAAUUUCAGUGAGGCAGUUAUAAAGUCCAAGCCUUUAUAACCAUUUCUUUAAAAAAAAUUAAGGUUCUUUCAUGUAGUUAUCAUUUGACUGUUUAUAGCUGUUUAUAAUUCACUGUUAAUUUGGCAGGAUGUCUCAGAUUUGAGUGUCUGUGUUUUAUUCUAACAUUUUUGGUGAGAGCUUUAGGUAAAGAGAUGGCUAAUUAAUUGUUAUGCUAUUUUCUAUGUUUAUCAUUUUUUUUGCUAGAUAAAUUCUUUUUGAAAUGUACUCCCUUAUGUUCCCAGAGAACAUUAUCAUGAAAUUCAGCAUUUGCCCAGAUUGAACUAACCUUGGUGAUCAUAUCAUAUAUAUAUAUAUAUAUAUAUAUAUAUAUAUAUAUAUAUAUGCUUAUAUAUUAUAAUAUAUAUAAUUGAUUAGAGUAGAUCACUACUGAGAUUCCUUCCAACUCUCAAAUUCAGGAAUUAUUCAGUUAUUCCUCAUGUUUUUUCUUUACUGGUUAUCUUCAGAUGUUAUUAGCUUCUUUUAUGAAUUUAUUUUAAUUAACUAAAAUCAUACACAGCACAGUAUAAAUUGUGAUUUAUGUGCCAGCAUGCUGACACAGGGUUUACAAGCAUCUUUCCUUAAAAUUCUACUUUCUCAUAUCUCGCAUCUUUGUUCUUUGUCUUAUAUUAUGUCAGUAUCUCUAAGAUCUCCCCAUGGAGUCAUCCAACUUUUGUCUACUUUCCUUUAUACUCACAUUUGAUGCAAAGAUGACUUUCCUUGUGAGAUUGUAGUCAUAAUUUCGCUGAAUUCCUUAUCAUUUAUAUCAUCUGAAUUUGCAAGGCAUUGCAUGAUUCUUGGUUGUGGUUCUAUACUUACUGUAACAGACUGUAAGAUCCUUGAGAAUAGAGAUUCCUUUUUAUUUACCCUAAUAUUUCCCACAGUACUUUGUAUUGUGCUGCACACAUCAUUAUGUUAUAGAAGUUGAAGUGGAGGCUGUCUAGUUUGACCAAUGUUUGACAAUGAGUAUGUUUUAAAAACCUUCCUUCUAAAUGGAAUCUAACAUCCCUUAAAGAUUUUCAGUGACUGUGGAAUCAAUGAGUCUCCAUCCAUUAAUAUAUCUUGUUAAUAGAUAAACAGUUUUAUGUUCCUGAUACAUUGUUGGUGGAAUUGUGAAUACAUCCAGCCAUUCUGGAGAGCAAUUUGGAACUAUGCCCAAAAAGUUAUCAAACUGUGCAUACCUUUUGAUCCAGCAGAUCAAAGAGAUCUUAAAGAAGGGAAAGGGACCUCUAUGUGCAAGAAUGUUUGUGGCAGCCCUCUUUGUAGUAGUCAGAUACUGGAAACUAAGUAGAUGCCCAUCAAUUGGAGAAGGCUGAAUAAACUGUGGUAUAUGAAUGUUAUAGAAUAUUAUUGUUCUGUAAGAAGUGACCAGCAGGAUGAUUUCAGAAAGGCCUGGAGAGACCUACAUGAACUGAUGCUGAGUGAAAUGAGCAGGACCAGGAGAUCAUUAUAUAUUUCAAGAACAAUAUUUUAUGAUGAUCAAUUCUGAUGGACGUGGCCCUCUUCAACAAUGAGAUGCACCAAAUCAGUUCCAAUAGAGCAGUAAUGAAUUGAGGCAGCCAGUGAAAGAACCCUGGGAAAUGAGUAUGAACCACUGCAUAGAAUUCCCAAUCCCUCUAUUUUUGUCUGCCUGCAUUUUUGAUUUCCUUCACAAGUUAAUUGUACAUUAUUUCAAAGUCCGAUUCUUUUUGUACAGCAAGAUAACUGUAUGGACAUGUAUACAUAUAUUGUAUUUAACAUAUAUUUUAACAUAUAUAACAUGUAUUGGUCAACCUGCCAUCUGGGGG